UACGUAGGGGGCUAGCGUUGUCCGGAAUCAUUGGGCGUAAAGCGCGUGUAGGCGGCCCGGUAAGUCCGCUGUGAAAGUCCAGGGCUCAACCCUGGGAUGCCGGUGGAUACUGUCGGGCUCGAGUCCGGAAGAGGCGAGUGGAAUUCCUGGUGUAGCGGUGAAAUGCGCAGAUAUCAGGAGGAACACCAAUGGCGAAGGCAGCUCGCUGGGACGUGACUGACGCUGAGGAGCGAAAGCUAGGGGAGCAAACGGG
This 253-nucleotide ribosomal RNA is filed under the name uncultured bacterium. RNAcentral's name for it is "partial 16S ribosomal RNA". It matches the Rfam family "Bacterial small subunit ribosomal RNA", at positions 524 to 776 of the family's 1533-position model. The record is from RNAcentral.